GCCGGAGUGGUGGAAUUGGUAGACACAAGGGACUUAAAAUCCCUCGAGCUUUAAGCUUGUGCCGGUUCAAGUCCGGCCUCUGGUACCA
RNAcentral lists this transfer RNA (88 nucleotides) under Candidatus Stygibacter australis. RNAcentral describes it as "tRNA-Leu". It matches the Rfam family "tRNA". Rfam says of the family: Transfer RNA (tRNA) molecules are approximately 80 nucleotides in length. The record is from RNAcentral. Lineage: Bacteria; Pseudomonadati; Candidatus Cloacimonadota; Cloacimonadia (SeqCode); Cloacimonadales (SeqCode).